CUCAUAGGAACUCCAAUCUUCCCAACUGUGAGAGAGCCUUGCUCCAGUGACUGUGAAAUGGAGUGAGGCAUACCAGGAUAUGUGUGAUUUGACUGUUGGGCUGGAGGUUGGAACAGUGCAGUGCUUCCUCUCUAGGAUUGCAGUGACCAGACAUGCUACUGUAACUCUCAUUGUCAUGUGCUGGAAUUAGCAGAUAUUCAACAAUUCGGCCAUCUCACUCACCUGUUGAUAUCAGAAGAGUGCAACAGCUCUGCACAGCAAGUUGCAAAACAGAAUCCAUGGAACUGGCAGUGACCGAAAACCAAAUGGAAGACUUUGGUCUGUGAUGUAGGAGAGGGCAGAUGAGAAAUUUUCUAUUAAUAUUACAUGUAGUCAUGAACAAUUGUAAGUGUUACUAUUAUUGUAAUAUUUCAGUAGCAGAAGCAAAGACAACAAAAAAAAAAAGAAGUGAUAUGGAUGCAUUUGCCUUAUGGCAUGACUCGGUUGAUUUAACAACAAAGAGAAUGGCGUUCAACAUCUUCUUGCUAGUCAGGAUUCUUCAGGAGAAGCAGAGGAUUCUUGUGGCAGAGAUGGCCAACCACUAUAAAUACCUUUCAACUCAUCCUGGUUCCUUCAAAGAACUUUCCUGCUUGUUUGCUACUGAAAAGUAUAUUCGACAUGUGGCCUAAACGAAGAGGGGUUGAAAGGUCUAUGGAUCAUCAUUCUCAGAAAGCAACAAAAUAACACAGAAAUAAACAACAAUACGAGGGUGCAAUCUAGAGACCUGCAAGGUACCUGCAAGUUUUGGCUGGAGCAGAUAACAGACAUUUUUUUAAAUAAAGCUCCAGCUGAUGAGUAUGACAUUGACUGCGGAUUUUCUUUUACUGUAAUCCAGAAGAGGAUGACCUUAACCCUGAAUCUAAAGCAUGUAAUAAAAUCUGAAAAAAAAAAAAAUAAUAAUAAUAAUUACCAUAA
This is a non-coding RNA of Danio rerio (zebrafish), 954 nucleotides long. Lineage: Eukaryota; Metazoa; Chordata; Actinopteri; Cypriniformes; Danionidae. The record is from Ensembl.